RNAcentral lists this long non-coding RNA (201 nucleotides) under Olea europaea (common olive). RNAcentral describes it as "long non-coding RNA (OEUR_LNC010902)". The record is from RNAcentral. Lineage: Eukaryota; Viridiplantae; Streptophyta; Magnoliopsida; Lamiales; Oleaceae.
GAAAACAUGGCAGCUGAAAACAAGUCAGAAAGAGAGGGCUUGCGGUUCAAUUAUCUAUAGAGAUAUACAGCAGUUGGCGGUUGGAAUUUAAAAAAGACUCACAUUGAAAAGGCUGCUUUGGGGAGUGUAUGCAUAUAUAUAGCACUGCCCGUUAGGGGGAAAGUGAGAAUAAAUUGAAUAAAAGUUGGGUUUGCUUUCGAG